This 68-nucleotide transfer RNA is filed under the name Reticunassa festiva. RNAcentral's name for it is "Nassarius festivus tRNA-Thr". It matches the Rfam family "tRNA". Rfam says of the family: Transfer RNA (tRNA) molecules are approximately 80 nucleotides in length. Their secondary structure includes four short double-helical elements and three loops (D, anti-codon, and T loops). The record is from RNAcentral. Lineage: Eukaryota; Metazoa; Mollusca; Gastropoda; Neogastropoda; Nassariidae.
AGCAAUAAUAGCUUAAAUAGAGCAUCGGUCUUGUAAGCCGAAGGUGAGUAAAUUUUCUCUUAUUGCUA